GGAGAGGUGGCCGAGUGGUUUAAGGCGCACGCCUGGAAAGUGUGUAUACGUUAACGCGUAUCGGGAGUUCGAAUCUCCUCCUCUCCUCCA
This 90-nucleotide transfer RNA is filed under the name Azospirillum brasilense. RNAcentral describes it as "tRNA-Ser". It matches the Rfam family "tRNA". From Rfam's summary of the family: Transfer RNA (tRNA) molecules are approximately 80 nucleotides in length. Their secondary structure includes four short double-helical elements and three loops (D, anti-codon, and T loops). The record is from RNAcentral. Lineage: Bacteria; Pseudomonadati; Pseudomonadota; Alphaproteobacteria; Rhodospirillales; Azospirillaceae.